GACGAACGCUGGCGGCGUGCUUAACACAUGCAAGUCGAACGAUGAAGCCUAGCUUGCUAGGUGGAUUAGUGGCGAACGGGUGAGUAAUACGUGAGUAACCUACCUUUAACUCUGGGAUAAGCCUGGGAAACUGGGUCUAAUACCGGAUACGACCAAUCUCCGCAUGGGGUGUUGGUGGAAAGCGUUAUGUAGUGGUUAUAGAUGGGCUCACGGCCUAUCAGCUUGUUGGUGAGGUAACGGCUCACCAAGGCGACGACGGGUAGCCGGCCUGAGAGGGUGACCGGCCACACUGGGACUGAGACACGGCCCAGACUCCUACGGGAGGCAGCAGUGGGGAAUAUUGCACAAUGGGCGCAAGCCUGAUGCAGCGACGCCGCGUGAGGGAUGACGGCCUUCGGGUUGUAAACCUCUGUUAGCAGGGAAGAAGAGAGAUUGACGGUACCUGCAGAGAAAGCGCCGGCUAACUACGUGCCAGCAGCCGCGGUAAUACGUAGGGCGCGAGCGUUGUCCGGAAUUAUUGGGCGUAAAGAGCUUGUAGGCGGUUUGUCGCGUCUGCUGUGAAGGCCGGGGCUUAACCCCGUGUAUUGCAGUGGGUACGGGCAGACUAGAGUGCAGUAGGGGAGACUGGAACUCCUGGUGUAGCGGUGGAAUGCGCAGAUAUCAGGAAGAACACCGAUGGCGAAGGCAGGUCUCUGGGCUGUAACUGACGCUGAGAAGCGAAAGCAUGGGGAGCGAACAGGAUUAGAUACCCUGGUAGUCCAUGCCGUAAACGUUGGGCACUAGGUGUGGGGGACAUUCCACGUUUUCCGCGCCGUAGCUAACGCAUUAAGUGCCCCGCCUGGGGAGUACGGCCGCAAGGCUAAAACUCAAAGAAAUUGACGGGGGCCCGCACAAGCGGCGGAGCAUGCGGAUUAAUUCGAUGCAACGCGAAGAACCUUACCAAGGCUUGACAUAUACUGGACCGCAUCAGAGAUGGUGUUUCCCUUCGGGGCUGGUAUACAGGUGGUGCAUGGUUGUCGUCAGCUCGUGUCGUGAGAUGUUGGGUUAAGUCCCGCAACGAGCGCAACCCUCGUUCUAUGUUGCCAGCACGUUAUGGUGGGGACUCAUAGGAGACUGCCGGGGUCAACUCGGAGGAAGGUGGGGAUGACGUCAAAUCAUCAUGCCCCUUAUGUCUUGGGCUUCACGCAUGCUACAAUGGCCGGUACAGAGGGUUGCGAUACUGUGAGGUGGAGCUAAUCCCUAAAAGCCGGUCUCAGUUCGGAUUGGGGUCUGCAACUCGACCCCAUGAAGUCGGAGUCGCUAGUAAUCGCAGAUCAGCAACGCUGCGGUGAAUACGUUCCCGGGCCU
RNAcentral lists this ribosomal RNA (1347 nucleotides) under uncultured bacterium. Its description in RNAcentral is "bacterial SSU rRNA". It matches the Rfam family "Bacterial small subunit ribosomal RNA", at positions 28 to 1381 of the family's 1533-position model. The record is from RNAcentral.